UGCCCGAAUGGACGAGAGACUUAAAACAAUACAUAAGAAUCCUGUCAUCAAAGUACCCACGGGAUGGAAUGCUCAACCACAUCAAACCUGUCAUCAAUGUUUUGGAACGCAAUCAUAAAGUGAAAAUAAAAGAUAUUGACGUUGACAAACGAGGUA
Cydia amplana is the source of this 156-nucleotide long non-coding RNA. RefSeq lists it as uncharacterized. The record is from RefSeq and is a predicted model, not a curated record. The transcript is spliced from 3 exons. NCBI's taxonomy places the organism in Eukaryota, Metazoa, Arthropoda, Insecta, Lepidoptera, Tortricidae.